This is a long non-coding RNA of Dendronephthya gigantea, 449 nucleotides long. RefSeq lists it as uncharacterized. The record is from RefSeq and is a predicted model, not a curated record. The transcript is spliced from 3 exons. Lineage: Eukaryota; Metazoa; Cnidaria; Anthozoa; Malacalcyonacea; Nephtheidae.
GGUCAAGAAUAUGAAUUUGGUACUGACGGUCGCGGAUCUCAUAGAACCUGGUCAACUGGACUGUUCUCGUGUUUCGACGACUGGUCUUCAUGUUUGCUAGGCUUUCUCUGUCCAUGUUGCCUGGCCAUGACCAUCAGUUGUACCUUAAACGAAUGCUGUUGCACUGCAAACUGCUACCCCGUCGCAACCAGAACCAAAAUACGAACCGAAUAUAACAUUAUAGGAACGAUCUGCGAAGAUGCUUAUGUAUUGUGUUGGUGCUAUCAAUGUGCUCUGUGUCAAAUGGCGAGGGAAAUCGAUGACUCUGGUGAUGACAGUCACACAGAAUAAACAAUUGCAGUAUAAUAUAUGCCAUGUUCAGAACUGAUUUAGCACAUUAUUGUAUACACACUCAUGAGAACUUAUCAGCUUACGUUACCGAAUACUGAUCAUACCUAAUAUUCUGAUGU